Molecule: long non-coding RNA, 230 nt
Filed under: Brassica napus (rape)
Lineage: Eukaryota; Viridiplantae; Streptophyta; Magnoliopsida; Brassicales; Brassicaceae
Description: long non-coding RNA (BNAP_LNC017677)
Source: RNAcentral
CUCACGUUCAUCAAUAGCAACCUCCCUCAGUUUGCUAACCUCCUUCUCUAGAGACUCAUAAUUCUCAUUUACAGCAGCAAGUUCUUCGGCAAGAUCUUCAUACUGCUCACGGCCCUGCACCAAUUCGUGUUGCAACCUCAGAUUCUCAUUCUUGAGAUUCAACCACUUGUUGAGCAUCACGUGAUAAUCCUCAGAGUCUGUACUGACAUCUGAAUCCGAGGAUUCACUAG